AACGACUCUCGGCAACGGAUAUCUCGGCUCUCGCAUCGAUGAAGAACGUAGCGAAAUGCGAUACUUGGUGUGAAUUGCAGAAUCCCGUGAACCAUCGAGUCUUUGAACGCAAGUUGCGCCCGAAGCCCCCGGGCCGAGGGCACGUCUGCCUGGGUGUCACGCAACGUCGCCCCCCACCAACUCCUGCCCCGAACACGAUUGGGCGGCGGAGGAGGGAGCGGAGUAUGGCCUCCCGUUGGCGCAGCCCGCGGUUGGUUGAAAUACGAGUUCCCGGCGCAACGCGUCGCGGCGAUCGGUGGUUGAAAGGCCCCUAAACACCGCCGCGCACCGUGCGAUCCGGACCCUCAAGACCCCGAAGCGUCCGUACGUGGACGCCCCCAUACGCGACCCCAGGUCAGGCGGGACCACCCGCUGAGUUUAAGCAUAUCAAUAAGCGGAGGAAAAGAAACUUACCAGGAUUCCCUUAGUAACGGCGAGCGAACCGGGAAGAGCCC
RNAcentral lists this ribosomal RNA (494 nucleotides) under Baccaurea ramiflora. RNAcentral describes it as "eukaryotic LSU rRNA". The stretch from base 4 to 159 matches the Rfam family "5.8S ribosomal RNA". The record is from RNAcentral. Lineage: Eukaryota; Viridiplantae; Streptophyta; Magnoliopsida; Malpighiales; Phyllanthaceae.